GGUUGGUCCUUUAGGAACCAGCGGGAAAGAUAAAAGCUAUAGUUUGUACUCUGCUUCGUGAACUAUAUUAUGGCCCCGUUCUCUUUUCUCUCAGAGACCUGCAGACGAACAGGGUAGUGCUGAAUUGAAUUUUUGUGACGACGCUUACUUUUCAGUAUCACUUCUAAACUAAACUGAACUGUUUUUUUAAGAAACCUUGGAAAAUGUGUUGCCCUCAAUGUAUUUGGAAGAAAGCAGUUGCUACUGUUACUUUGAGCCAACCCGUGAUGCUAUAAGAGAUUCGAAAGAAAAUAAUACAGAGCGAGCCAGCGCAUGUAACCUGAGUAACACUAUGUAGGCUGAGUGCUCACGAACAGAAGUUAAUAUUAGCUACUACUCCUAGGAGAAUGAGUUUCGCCCAGUUGAAUUUGACGAAGUUGACUAUUAUGUGACCAAGAAGGACAUCAUAAAUUGUGGCAUUUGAAGAACAUCCUGAGUUCAAAGAGUAUUGCAGAGAGGCUUGGAUUUAGAUGACUAUCAUUAUUCUCCAGAGCUGGGAGUCUUUGUCUCAGAAGACGUUUUGAAAUGAACUAUU
This is a long non-coding RNA of Camelus dromedarius (Arabian camel), 574 nucleotides long. RefSeq lists it as uncharacterized. The transcript has 3 exons. The record is from RefSeq and is a predicted model, not a curated record. NCBI's taxonomy places the organism in Eukaryota, Metazoa, Chordata, Mammalia, Artiodactyla, Camelidae.